Parelaphostrongylus tenuis is the source of this 71-nucleotide non-coding RNA. Lineage: Eukaryota; Metazoa; Nematoda; Chromadorea; Rhabditida; Metastrongylidae. The record is from the annotation of a GenBank genome assembly.
CCGUCGGUAGUCAAUGGUCAGCGUAUGCUCCCGGAAAGAGUGAGAUCUGGGUUCGAAUCCCGGCUGACGCA